GACGAACGCUGGCGGCGUGCUUAACACAUGCAAGUCGAACGGUAAGGCUCCAGCUUGCUGGGGUACACGAGUGGCGAACGGGUGAGUAACACGUGGGUGACCUGCCCUGCACUUCGGGAUAAGCCUGGGAAACUGGGUCUAAUACCGGAUAGGACCAUGGUGUGGAUACUGUGGUGGAAAGUUUUUUCGGUGUGGGAUGGGCCCGCGGCCUAUCAGCUUGUUGGUGGGGUAAUGGCCUACCAAGGCGGCGACGGGUAGCCGGCCUGAGAGGGUGGACGGCCACAUUGGGACUGAGACACGGCCCAGACUCCUACGGGAGGCAGCAGUGGGGAAUAUUGCACAAUGGGCGGAAGCCUGAUGCAGCGACGCCGCGUGGGGGAUGACGGCCUUCGGGUUGUAAACUCCUUUCACCAUCGACGAAGGGUUUCUGACGGUAGAUGGAGAAGAAGCACCGGCUAACUACGU
This 465-nucleotide ribosomal RNA is filed under the name uncultured bacterium. RNAcentral describes it as "partial 16S ribosomal RNA". It matches the Rfam family "Bacterial small subunit ribosomal RNA", at positions 28 to 506 of the family's 1533-position model. The record is from RNAcentral.